GACGAACGCUGGCGGCGUGCUUAACACAUGCAAGUCGAACGGAAAGGCCCUGCUUUUGUGGGGUGCUCGAGUGGCGAACGGGUGAGUAACACGUGAGUAACCUGCCCUUGACUUUGGGAUAACUUCAGGAAACUGGGGCUAAUACCGGAUAGGAGCUCCUGCUGCAUGGUGGGGGUUGGAAAGUUUCGGCGGUUGGGGAUGGACUCGCGGCUUAUCAGCUUGUUGGUGGGGUAGUGGCUUACCAAGGCUUUGACGGGUAGCCGGCCUGAGAGGGUGACCGGCCACCUUGGGACUGAGAUACGGCCCAGACUCCUACGGGAGGCAACGGUGGGGAAUAUUGCCCAGUGGGCGGAAGCCUGAUGCAGCAACGCCGCGUGCGGGAUGACGGCCUUCGGGUUGUAAACCGCUUUCGCCUGUGACGAAGCGUGAGUGACGGUAAUGGGUAAAGAAGCACCGGCUAACUACGUG
Molecule: ribosomal RNA, 468 nt
Filed under: uncultured bacterium
Lineage: Bacteria
Description: partial 16S ribosomal RNA
Rfam family: Bacterial small subunit ribosomal RNA
Source: RNAcentral